RNAcentral lists this ribosomal RNA (449 nucleotides) under uncultured bacterium. RNAcentral's name for it is "bacterial SSU rRNA". It matches the Rfam family "Bacterial small subunit ribosomal RNA", at positions 328 to 793 of the family's 1533-position model. The record is from RNAcentral.
GAGCCAGACUCCUACGGGAGGCAGCAGUGGGGAAUAUUGCACAAUGGGGGGAACCCUGAUGCAGCGACGCCGCGUGGGUGAAGGAGUCCUUCGGUACGUAAAGCCCUAUCAGCAGGAAAGAAAAUGACGGUACCUGACUAAGAAGCCCCGGCUAACUACGUGCCAGCAGCCGCGGUAAUACGUAGGGGGCAAGCGUUAUCCGGAUUUACUGGGUGUAAAGGGAGCGUAGACGGCAGUGCAAGUCCGGAGUGAAAGCCCGGGGCUCAACCCUGGGACUGCUCUGGAAACUGUAAAGCUGGAGUGCGGGAGGGGCAGGCGGAAUUCCUGGUGUAGCGGUGAAAUGCGUAGAUAUCAGGAGGAACACCGGCGGCGAAGGCGGCCUGCUGGACCGCGACUGACGUUGAGGCUCGAAAGCGUGGGGAGCGAACAGGAUUAGAUACCCCGGUAUG